AAAGUUGUCAAAGUGGCUGUGAUGUGUGACAUUCUUCAUAUCACAGCCUGCUUUGAUGAGCUUUU
Molecule: microRNA precursor, 65 nt
Filed under: Mytilus edulis (blue mussel)
Lineage: Eukaryota; Metazoa; Mollusca; Bivalvia; Mytilida; Mytilidae
Also listed under: 1 other name
Description: mir-2 microRNA precursor family
Rfam family: mir-2 microRNA precursor family
About the family: The miRNAs are transcribed as ~70nt precursors (modelled here) and subsequently processed by the Dicer enzyme to give a ~22nt product.
Source: Rfam by way of RNAcentral